Molecule: ribosomal RNA, 616 nt
Filed under: Salmonella enterica
Lineage: Bacteria; Pseudomonadati; Pseudomonadota; Gammaproteobacteria; Enterobacterales; Enterobacteriaceae
Also listed under: 1 other name
Description: partial 23S ribosomal RNA
Rfam family: Bacterial large subunit ribosomal RNA
Source: RNAcentral
GCGCCUCGUGAAUUCAUCUCCGGGGGUAGAGCACUGUUUCGGCUAGGGGGCCAUCCCGGCUUACCAACCCGAUGCAAACUGCGAAUACCGGAGAAUGUUAUCACGGGAGACACACGGCGGGUGCUAACGUCCGUCGUGAAGAGGGAAACAACCCAGACCGCCAGCUAAGGUCCCAAAGUCAUGGUUAAGUGGGAAACGAUGUGGGAAGGCCCAGACAGCCAGGAUGUUGGCUUAGAAGCAGCCAUCAUUUAAAGAAAGCGUAAUAGCUCACUGGUCGAGUCGGCCUGCGCGGAAGAUGUAACGGGGCUAAACCAUGCACCGAAGCUGCGGCAGCGACACUGUGUGUUGUUGGGUAGGGGAGCGUUCUGUAAGCCUGUGAAGGUGUGUCGUGAGGCAUGCUGGAGGUAUCAGAAGUGCGAAUGCUGACAUAAGUAACGAUAAAGCGGGUGAAAAGCCCGCUCGCCGGAAGACCAAGGGUUCCUGUCCAACGUUAAUCGGGGCAGGGUGAGUCGACCCCUAAGGCGAGGCCGAAAGGCGUAGUCGAUGGGAAACGGGUUAAUAUUCCCGUACUUGGUGUUACUGCGAAGGGGGGACGGAGAAGGCUAUGUUGGCCGGG